RNAcentral lists this ribosomal RNA (497 nucleotides) under uncultured bacterium. RNAcentral describes it as "partial 16S ribosomal RNA". It matches the Rfam family "Bacterial small subunit ribosomal RNA", at positions 28 to 507 of the family's 1533-position model. The record is from RNAcentral.
GAUGAACGCUGGCGGCGUGCCUAAUACAUGCCAGUCGAGCGAACGGACGAGAAGCUUGCUUUUCUGAUGUUAGCGGCGGACGGGUGAGUAACACGUGGAUAACCUACCUAUAAGACUGGGAUAACUUCGGGAAACCGGAGCUAAUACCGGAUAAUAUUUUGAACCGCAUGGUUCAAAAGUGAAAGACGGUCUUGCUGUCACUUAUAGAUGGAUCCGCGCUGCAUUAGCUAGUUGGUAAGGUAACGGCUUACCAAGGCAACGAUGCAUAGCCGACCUGAGAGGGUGAGCGGCCACACUGGAACUGAGACACGGUCCAGACUCCUACGGGAGGCAGCAGUAGGGAAUCUUCCGCAAUGGGCGAAAGCCUGACGGAGCAACGCCGCGUGAGUGAUGAAGGUCUUCGGAUCGUAAAACUCUGUUAUUAGGGAAGAACAAAUGUGUAAGUAACUAUGCACGGCUGGACGGUACCUAAUCAGAAAGCCACGGCUAACUACGUG